RNAcentral lists this ribosomal RNA (465 nucleotides) under uncultured bacterium. Its description in RNAcentral is "partial 16S ribosomal RNA". It matches the Rfam family "Bacterial small subunit ribosomal RNA", at positions 338 to 795 of the family's 1533-position model. The record is from RNAcentral.
CCUACGGGCGGCUGCAGUGGGGAAUAUUGCGCAAUGGGCGAAAGCCUGACGCAGCGACGCCGCGUGCAGGAUGAAGGUCUUCGGAUCGUAAACCUCUGUCAGCAGGGAAGAACGGUCCCUGUGCUAAUCAGCAGUGCAUUGACGGUACCUGCAAAGGACGCACCGUGUAACUCCGGUCCCGCAGCCGCGGUAAUACGGAGGGUGCGAGCGUUAAUCGGAAUUACGGGGCGUAAAGCGCUCGUAGGCGGUAUGUCAAGUCAAGGGUGAAAUCCCCGCGCUCAACGCGGGAACUGCCUUUGAAACUGGCAAACUUGAGUGUGCGAGAGGAUAGUGGAAUUCCAGGUGUAGGAGUGAAAUCCGUAGAUAUCUGGAGGAACACCAGUGGCGAAGGCGACUAGCUGGAACAUAACUGACGCUGAGGAGCGAAAGCGUGGGUAGCAAACAGGAUUAGAUACCCUGGUAGUC